CACGUAGGGGGCGAGCGUUGUCCGGAUUUAUUGGGCGUAAAGAGCUCGUAGGCGGCUCGGUAAGUCGGGUGUGAAAUUUCGAGGCUCAACCUCGAAACGCCACCCGAUACUGCUGUGGCUAGAGUCCGGUAGGGGAGCGUGGAAUUCCUGGUGUAGCGGUGAAAUGCGCAGAUAUCAGGAGGAACACCAAUAGCGAAGGCAGCUCGCUGGGACGGUACUGACGCUAAGGCGCGAAAGCGUGGGGAGCGAACAGG
This 254-nucleotide ribosomal RNA is filed under the name uncultured bacterium. RNAcentral's name for it is "partial 16S ribosomal RNA". It matches the Rfam family "Bacterial small subunit ribosomal RNA", at positions 524 to 776 of the family's 1533-position model. The record is from RNAcentral.